UACGAAGGGGGCUAGCGUUGCUCGGAAUGACUGGGCGUAAAGGGCGCGUAGGCGGCUCAUACAGUCAGAUGUGAAAUUCCUGGGCUUAACCUGGGGGCUGCAUUUGAUACGUGUGGGCUUGAGUGGGGAAGAGGGUCGUGGAAUUCCCAGUGUAGAGGUGAAAUUCGUAGAUAUCGGGAGGAACACCGGUGGCGAAGGCGGCGACCUGGGUCGAGACUGACGCUGAGGCGCGAAAGCGUGGGGAGCAAACAGG
Molecule: ribosomal RNA, 253 nt
Filed under: uncultured bacterium
Lineage: Bacteria
Description: partial 16S ribosomal RNA
Rfam family: Bacterial small subunit ribosomal RNA
Source: RNAcentral